Molecule: non-coding RNA, 18 nt
Filed under: Arabidopsis thaliana (thale cress)
Lineage: Eukaryota; Viridiplantae; Streptophyta; Magnoliopsida; Brassicales; Brassicaceae
Also listed under: 1 other name
Source: RNAcentral
ACAGCAGGACGGUGGUCA